Small nucleolar RNA from Spea bombifrons (plains spadefoot toad), 128 nucleotides. RefSeq annotates it as small nucleolar RNA SNORA47. Lineage: Eukaryota; Metazoa; Chordata; Amphibia; Anura; Pelobatidae. The transcript has a single exon. The record is from RefSeq and is a predicted model, not a curated record.
UGGAGGCAUGAGAAGGUGGUGCAGUUCUACCAUGCUGCAGUUUACUGGUAUUAUCCUCCUACAGAAACAAUGCUGAUGCUUAUUUUUUUCCCCCGCUCCCUUGGGUGAAAACAUCUUGCAUGUAGCAU